This 408-nucleotide ribosomal RNA is filed under the name uncultured bacterium. Its description in RNAcentral is "partial 16S ribosomal RNA". It matches the Rfam family "Bacterial small subunit ribosomal RNA", at positions 28 to 526 of the family's 1533-position model. The record is from RNAcentral.
GACGAACGCUGGCGGCGUGCUUAACACAUGCAAGUCGAACGAAGUGGCGAACGGGUGAGUAAUACGUGGGUAACCUGCCCUCCUUUUUGGGAUAAGCCUUGGAAACGGGGUCUAAUACCGACUAAAGGGGGAUGGGCCCGCGGCCUAUCAGCUUGUUGGUGGGGUGAUGGCCUACCAAGGCGGUGACGGGUAGCCGGCCUGAGAGGGUGACCGGCAACAUAGGGACGGAGAUACGUCCCAGAGGCCUAAGGGGGGGAGCAGUGUGGGAUAUUGCACAAAGGGCGAAAGCCUGAUGCAGCGACGCCGCAGAAGGGAUGAAGGCUUUCGAGUUGUAAACGUCGUGCGCUAGCGAGCGGGUAGGUGGAGAAGAAGCGCCGGCUAACUACGUGCCAGCAGCCGCGGUAAUAC